Molecule: long non-coding RNA, 801 nt
Filed under: Lupinus angustifolius (narrow-leaved blue lupine)
Lineage: Eukaryota; Viridiplantae; Streptophyta; Magnoliopsida; Fabales; Fabaceae
Description: long non-coding RNA (LANG_LNC002474)
Source: RNAcentral
CGGCUCAUGUAAAUACAAACACAAGUUAAUUUCUUUGCAAUUCAUUUGCAAUUUAUUUCCACUAUCCUACAUACUCAAACAUCCUUAUGCAAACAUCCUUAUUCAUCUUAAUUGAUAUAUAUAUAUGGACAUGCAAAAGGAGUCUCCCUCCAUCAUUAGUAUACAUGGUCUUUGAGCUUUCUCUAAAUCAUGAUUGGUGAAAAUAAAUAGAGCAAACCUUAGAGUUUCCAUCUCCUUAUUUGUCACCUGAGUAAGUGCCCACAUCAUUGCAUGCUUGAAAUGUGAAAUGUUGUCAAUCACCACCAUCACUCACUUUCUAACCAUUAUCUCAUAAUCCUCAUUCCCGUGCAUGAUGAAUCAUUCCCUUUGAUUCAUACUUGCCUCACUAACAUGGCCAUAUUUGUCUUUCCCAUUCCACCUAUUUGAUGUUGAUUUCCAAACCUUCUUCAUGCUGAAUUGUUUUAACAACGACCCUCUUGAACUUUGCUUUGUUUAUUUGAACAGCCCUCGUGGCUUAUAUUUAUAUAUAGGGUGCAGAAAGAAUAGCAUCAUUACUUGCUCAUCAGAUAGUACAAGAAAUGAGGGUAUUCGGGUCCCCCAUAGGAUUAGUUUGGCAGGUUAUUAUAUAGAGAUACACUAGAGGUUGUAAUUGUAGGAGGUUUGGUCAUGGUGAUACAAAGUGGGAGAUAGUGGGUGGUUUUUCUGUAUAAGUGGUGAGAGGGAAGAGCGGGUGGUUUGGGAUUAACUGAUGAUAUGGAUAUUAUGAGAUUAAGGGAUGAUAUGAGUACUUUGGGAUUCUUU